CAGCAGUGAGGAAUAUUGGUCAAUGGGCGAGAGCCUGAACCAGCCAAGUCGCGUGAGGGAAGACGGUCCUAUGGAUUGUAAACCUCUUUUGCCGGGGAGCAAAGAGCGGUACGUGUACCGCGCCGAGAGUACCCGGAGAAAAAGCAUCGGCUAACUCCGUGCC
This 163-nucleotide ribosomal RNA is filed under the name uncultured bacterium. RNAcentral describes it as "partial 16S ribosomal RNA". It matches the Rfam family "Bacterial small subunit ribosomal RNA", at positions 349 to 509 of the family's 1533-position model. The record is from RNAcentral.